RNAcentral lists this ribosomal RNA (718 nucleotides) under Monodelphis domestica (gray short-tailed opossum). RNAcentral's name for it is "Bacterial small subunit ribosomal RNA". It matches the Rfam family "Bacterial small subunit ribosomal RNA". The record is from Rfam by way of RNAcentral. Lineage: Eukaryota; Metazoa; Chordata; Mammalia; Didelphimorphia; Didelphidae.
UCAAGGAAUAGAGUCCUCUCUAAUUAACAACAAAUUAACAAGCCUCCGGCGUAAAGCGUGUUCAAACAAAAUACUAAUAAUAAAGUUAAUACUUAACUAAGUUGUAACACACUCCAGUUAAUACUAAAAUAAACUAUUAAAAUAACUUUAAUAAAGCUGAUACACGAAAACUAAGGUACAAACUGGGAUUAGAUACCCCACUAUGCUUAGUCAUAAACCAAAGUAGUUAAACAACAAAACUACUCGCCAGAGAACUACUAGCUACUGCUUAAAACUCAAAGGACUUGGCGGUGCCCUAAACCCACCUAGAGGAGCCUGUUCUAUAAUCGAUAAACCCCGAUAUACCCAACCCCAUCUUGCCAAUACAGCCUAUAUACCGCCAUCGUCAGCCCACCUUAAAAAAGAUACAAAGUAAGCAAAAUUAUUUUUUCAUAAAAACGUUAGGUCAAGGUGUAGCAUAUGAUAGGGAAAGAAAUGGGCUACAUUAUCUAGCUUAGAUUAAACGAAUCACACUAUGAAAUUAAAUGUGCCUGAAGGAGGAUUUAGUAGUAAAUUAAGAAUAGAGUGCUUAAUUGAAUUAGGCAAUAGGGCGCGCACACACCGCCCGUCACCCUGCUCAACUCAACCUACAAAAAUACUUAAUAAUUUAUUUUAGUAAAGAGGAGAAAAGUCGUAACACGGUAAGUGUACUGGAAAGUGCACUUGGAAUAUCAAAAUG